This is a long non-coding RNA of Numida meleagris (helmeted guineafowl), 8923 nucleotides long. RefSeq lists it as uncharacterized. The record is from RefSeq and is a predicted model, not a curated record. NCBI's taxonomy places the organism in Eukaryota, Metazoa, Chordata, Aves, Galliformes, Numididae. The transcript has 10 exons.
UCUCAUUAGAGAAGAAAUCUAGUAUUUUCCUAAUUAAGUUAAGAGACCAGAUGAAGAAAAUUAACGACGACCAUAAAAUGUCCUGGCCUUGACUCUCCAUGCAGCAGUCUAUGCUUUCCAGACUGGGAGUAAUCCAGCCUCCUGGCCAUCAUUUUCUUGCACAGGGGAUAGAAAUAUCCAUUUUUUUCCAAUGACAGGACUGCCAGGAUGAUUCUGGGCUGUGGAUGGCAGAGGAAGACCUCCUCCAAGACACUGUGUUUCCUGCCGAUUCCUGCCCGGGUACUACAAGGCCAAUGCUCACAGUUUCCAUGGCUUAUGCUUUGCUCUGGGGUUCAAUUCCCACCCCAGGGUCAGCACUGGGGUCCUAUGCUCCAUCUAACCAUUAGGGCUGCGCCUUGAAAUCACUAAUGGAGCCUGCAACAGAGAUGGCCAUGGAUUUCAGUUGAAGCCUUUUAACGGCCCCAUUGUGCUGCAUUGUUUUUGUGGGUGUCUGCACCUUUCAAGCAAGCUCCAAUUAGAAGAGGGGGGGAGGAGAGGCGGAGAGAGGGACAUAAACAGAGGCAAAACGAUUCAGCUCUCAGCAAAUCCACAGCCUGUUUGUGGGACAGAUGGAGCCUCGCAGCGAAUGGCUUUGCUGCAGCAUGGCCCCGAGCAGGUGGGUAUUUUGGAAGUGAUGAGUGGUUUGCUUCCUUAGUUAGCAGCCACGCAGGCUCACACCGGACAUAUGUCAAUAACAGCUCUACUUGGUUCCUGCUGUCACAGCAGUCGGAACUUGCUCACUCCUGCCCACCUGCUCUCAAAAGAAAUUGCUGGAAUCAAAACAAACAAACAAGAAGUUACUGACACUUGUUGCGUUAGAGUGAGAAGGACAAAUGAGGGCUCAGAAGCACAUGAGUAUAAUUUCACUUAAGUACUAAUUGCUGAAUGCCUUUCAUUAAGAGACCAUCAUGGUCGUCCCAGCAGUGUUUUGAACAUACAUGCAGAUGGGCAGAUGGCCCUUUGCUGUAAUACAGGCAGAUGCAUCUAACGUUACAGAUGGAUUAUUAUGUUGAUUUGUCACUGAAAGAAGAACUUAUUUCACAAUAGGGCAUUCGUUUGAGCGUGGUUCUUUCUCAAGCUUACAUUCCCCCUCUGUAUUGCUAGUUUUCACUCCACGAAACAAAGUUCUCAUUCAGCAAGGCUAGUGUUUCCCCUUCUGUGCUGCAAAAAGACAAAGAAAAGAAGUUAAAGAGCCUGCCUAAGAAUAAUGUGGUCCUUUUGAGAACCUGGAAGAUGUAUUUUAACUUCAGACCUGGAGGCACUGGAACAGGCUGCCCAGGGCAGUGGUCACAGCACCAAGCCUACUGGAAUUUAAGAAGAGUUUGGACAAUGCUCUCCGCCAUAGGGUUUGGAUUUUGAGUGGUCCCGCGUGGAGCCAGGAGUUGGACUCAGUGAUCCUUGUGGGUCCCUUCCAACUCAGGAUAUUCUGAUUCUUGGGUCGAGUCCUCUAGCAUCGCUGGGUUAGAAAGGAGAUCUGGGACAGACACAGGGAAAGGGAACAAGUUUGAAGUUUAAGGUAACCUGCCCUGAAGAUGUUGUUUGAGCAACAAGCAGCAGUGUGGCUGUUGGAUUCACAGAGGUCAAAAUGCAGGGAUGGAAGAUUUUGGGGGCCUUAAAACAUGAGCCUGAAGGAAGGAGACCCCCAGCUCUCUGUGAAGGAUGGGCUUGAGCUGGCAACGAGUCAGAACGUCCUUGUGAAGGCGGGAGAGAACUGGAGCGUUGAGGCUUCUCUGCCUUUGAAACCACCUUUGUGUGAGCAAGAACUGGAGCUGUCCUGCAAAGGGACAGCUGCCAGAUGGAAGUAAAACUGUCCUUCAAGAGGGUGGCAGUCCUCAACAGGACGGUCAUGGCCUCAUCCUGCCUGCAGCUGCGGAAAUGCCACCUAUUAGGCCUGCUCCCAGCCUGCAGCCGCUGUGCUUGAGGAAAGCUGCAUGCUGGUGAGGGAGGUCCUAGAGAUGCUAUCAAGUGACAAGAACCUUGGGCUCUUUGCCUGGAUCAUGUUCUCUUCCCCAGAUUUUCCAUCCCAGAAGAGGGCAGGGAGCUUCACUGGGGGAUCAGACAAUGUGCAGGGUGUUUUCUCAGCCCUGUGACAGCUUUUUGUUUGGUUUCCUUCCGUAAUGUCACUGUGAUGAAGGGGAGAGAAAACUUGUUUUUCAAGUGUUCUCUCUGUUUUGUUGUUGUUGUUGUUGUUGUUGUUUGUUUGUUUGUUUGUUUGUUUGUUUGUUUUUGCUGCAGUCCCCUGUGCCUGCUGGCAGCUUCCUCAAGUGCCUGAAGGUGACUGGGAAAUUGUCUCUUCUGUUAGUGAGGCUUGUCCUGCUCUGGAGGAUGAUGGACUCCAUGGCAGGAAGCUGCUCUUUCGAAGCACAUCUCUUGAAAAUUAAAGAGAAGGGUUGGUCCUUAUGUAUGGUCUGUUCCUUGCCCUUCAAGAUCUAAUAUCCAUUGAAAAUAGGGAUAGCUGAGCUGGUAUGAUACAGUUUGUCCUGUGGACAGGAGGAAUGGCCUAGUGAUAAGGACACCCAGCUGGAGCAAGAACAAGAAGUAGGAGCCAGUUCUCUGCUGAAUACCCAGAUUACUAAGAAUCAUUUUUCUCCACUUCUUUCCAGCUCCAUGUGUCUUACUUUUGUGGCUGCCUGUUGGGUCAACCUCAACAAGACAAGCCUGGACCCAAUUACACCAGUGUCCCCCUGUUUAAGUCACCUUCCUGCAACAUGGGGAGUUGAAUCCUUUCCAAGUGGAGGAGGAACUUUUGUUUCUCAUUUCCUUGGUUAGCUCCUGCCUGUGAGCAGUACUGUGCAGUGCAGCUUCUAGUGGCUAUUUUCAGGUACUGUAAUGCCUCAGCUGACUUUUUGUAACUAAUCUUUGACACAUGGGGAUGUACCAGCAGAGGUUCCCGAUUCCAGCUAAAAUACCAACUAAAACAGCAUGGAAGUCUCCUUCCUUCCACAUCUCCCCAUGACCCCAACAGAGAUGUGUUAGGAUUUAAAUUUGUUACAUGCCUACAAGGUACUCAGUUUAAGAGAGCCUCAUCACAAAGUUAUUGUGAUAUAUGUGCUCCUCAGUGGGGGUGAGGUGGUUAAUGACUAACUUGUAAAACUGCUCUGUGCAUGGGUGAACUGCGUAGGUGUUUUCAGAAACAGCUGUGCCAGUUUCCCCUGUCAGGAUGGGCUUGGGUGGUGGCCAACUUUCCUGUCACUCUCUGUUUGCAAAGCUUUGUGUGAUUGAGUUUUGGUUUUUGAAAUCCAUCAGGUACAACUGAAAGUCAAAAGCAGCAUGUUUUUAGUAUUAUUUCAGAGCUUGCUUGGUUUUGCAGGAUUCCUUAUUGCGAAUACCAGUGUUCUGGAACUCUGUAAGAUGAUUAAAUCAACCUACUACUGCUAAGAAGCACCAAUUUGUAAGUUAAACACUGAUUAUGCCAGGAGGAGAAGCCCAAAUCCAUUUAGAUGAUACUCAUCAAAGUAAGAUCUCUAUGGUCAAGGGUCUGUAUAUGGUGUCUGGAAAGCUGGGCUUGAGUAUGGGUAGGAACUACUAAGUUGACCAUUUUAACAUCCUAGUUUUCAGUGUCCUACGUCACAACUCCUACAGUGCAUUUAACAAGUUAUGUGAAAGUCUCUCUAGAAAGGACUGUCUUCUGUUCCCUGAAAAUGUAUUUCUUCAUCCAACACAGGAGCCUGUGGCAGGUGCCCUGGAGGCUUUCAAGAAACAUGUAAAUGUGGCACUGAAGGACAUGGUUAGGAGGCAUGGUGGGGAUAGGCUGAUGGUUGGACUGGAUUACCUUACUGGCCUUUUCCAACGUUAAUGAUGUUAUGAUUCUUUACAGCCACGUGUGCUCAAGACCUGGAGAAAUCUCUUAAAAGAAGAGAAGUGGGCUGCUUUUACCUCACUGAACUCAUUACCUGAGAACAGUAACAGGGUCAGCUUUUUUCAGCCCUGGUGACCAAGUCUGGAUGCAGCUUUGCUGAUGAUGGGGAAUGACUCAGCGGCAUGAGACUUCCCUCAGCCACGUGUCAGGGAGUAGGUCUUUGCUUGUAGAUCAAAAAUUUUUGAGGAAAAAAUAAAAGGAUCUGGCAUUUUCCCACUCACCCACCCAUCUUGGAUUGCAUUCAGACAUGCUGUGUUCAUGACAAUAUUUUGGCUUUGACAAAUGGGAAACUUUUGGAUGUCAUUGUGGAAUAUAGGUGUGUUUUGUCUCUUCCUUCUUCUGAGGACAUAUCCUAUGAUUUUUUUCUAAUGAUUUUGUUCUCUUGGGAUAUUUUUGAUAUCAGAUUAACAAUUACUCUGCAGAGUAGUUGAAUUAUUGGUGUUUGUUACAGGCACUAUGCAAACAUAUUGUUUCUCAGGUUUCUAAAAGCUCUGCUUCUAAAACAUGACAAAAAAAAAAAAAUCAAAAUGGAUAAUAACCCCUGAUCCAUGCCAUGUAGAAACCCAAGCUCAUCUGCAAACUAAGCACCAAGUGCUUAUUUUACAGCAUGACCUUUCCUGGUGCUUCCCGACUCAUCAUUCCAAUGGCAUUAGUGCAGUUGAAACGGAAUGGAAAUUUUGGUUUCAUUUGAUUAUAUGAUACUGGGAAAACUCUUGUGGCAUUGCUAGUUUGAAUUUGAUAGUACAAGCUUGAUCAAUGGGCUGCUUUGUUGCUCUUCACCAACCUGUCAUGUAGUUGAUGACACAGGAGCUCUAAGCAGCCGUUUCCUCCUUCUCUCGUGUCUCAAAAAGGGAAAAGCAUUUGCUUUCUCUAAGAGAAAAAAAAAAAAGCGUUUGUGAAGUUAAGUCUCUUUGGGAACAACUUUGUUUUUAACGCAGCCCUUAUUUGUACUGGAGGAGAUACAUUGCCUUGUGUUAUGCAAUAGUUAGACAGCAUGCAAAUCCCAGCUCUUCCUGGAAAUGUUGGAUUCACCACAUUAGCAACUUCCAUGCAUUUUUCUGGCCUUUCCCAUGCAGUGAUGGCUGGGUGGCCCAGCAGUCCCUGAAGUCAUGGGAUGUUCUGGGGGGAUGUGUGGUCACCAGGUGAACAGGCUGCACAGAAAUAAAUAAAUAAGUCUGGGCUGUGGAUCGAGUUCACAUCGCCUGGUGUGACUGGGAAGAGCACAGUGUGCAAAAUGAUUUUGUUUAAAUUUAGCAGGAGUGUUGUGGCUGGAAAAGGCUGAUGAGAACCUGGCACCCACCUCCUCACCUCGCACUGUCUCCUCUCACAGUAGGAUUGUUGGCCUCCAAACAGAGCAUUGCUGGUGUGUAGCCUGAGCAAGCACCCUUUAAAUAACAUUUUUGCUUCUCUAAACUGUUUUGGUGAGUCAGUUCUUAGCAUCCAGAGCAGCCUUUAUGUGCCAGUGCUCUAGAGCAAUGGAGGAGACUCUGUCCCACCAAGUGGAUGAUGAACCUGUGUGAGCUGCCCUGGCUGAGCUGUUAUCACCUGCAUGUGUGUCUUUAUACUCCAUGGUCCAGGUAAGAGAUGAAACCAGUUGGGUUGAUCUACAUUUUGCUAAACCAGUACCUUCAGAUGCUACAAGGGCACUCUGUGAUGCACAGAAGCCAAUCCUACCUUCACCUUCUCCUUGGUCUCUGCCAGCCCUCUCCGUGGACAGGGCAGGUGGGAUCUGGGCUUGUUCUCUCUGUCUGUUCUCAUCUUGACAUCACUUCCAGGCUUGUCCCUCUCACAUCAAACCCUACCAUUCAUCUGCAGGAAUGUGCUGCCUUCAAGAUGCUCUAGUGUGACCUUAGGACGCAUACCUGCUGCAUGGGAAGUGAGCAAUGGAUGUCACUGUUGACAAGAGCUGAAGACUGUCAUCUCCUAACAGCUCUUUCCAGUGCUGCUUUGUUUGCUUUAUUUUGGGCAGCAGAUUUAAUGACCUCUUAAGUUAACAUUUCCAGCUGCUUUUUUUUUUUUCAGUUUAAUUGGGGAAAAAAUAGUGUCUCCUUUAAAAAGUUGACUGUCUGUUUCAUGAAGCAAAAACUUGGCUAUUUUUUUUGCCUCUGCCCAUCUAGUUUGUGUCCACCAGGCUUGACAUUUGCUUUCUACCCUCAGUAAUCAAUUGCAGUGUGUUGCACUCUAAAGAGAGGACUCAUUUGGUGUCAGUGCUGCUUAGCUUGAGUUAUUAGGUUUGGCAACAGAGAUGGACUUCAAACAAUCAUAGUACUGCUGAUAUCUUUGGAGGGAAGGGAGAAGGCUUUUCUCCUUUCUGGUUUAAAAUGAAAGCAAAAUAGUGCCCUUUUCCGUAUUUUCCUCGCUGCACAAGACUUUUGCCUAGGUUGCCUGAGGAGAAGACCUCUGUCAAAGCACUUCUACUUACAAAUGAAAGCCCUCUGCAAUGAGCUUAGGAGGAAUUUUCUGGUCACGGGAACGUUUAGAUGAGGAUAUGUGAGCCAGCAUUGUGGCUCAUCUCUCUUUCUCCUGCCCUCACAGUGACCCCAGCUCAAAUCCCAAGCCAUACAACCAUGCAUGGUGUGGCUCAUGAAUCCUCUUGGCCGUGGAGCUCAGAGCCCAUGAAGGUGAGAAGUGAGGCUGGAGCCCCAGGGGUAACCUCUCCUCAUGAGGUGGUACCUACCAUCAGCAGGUGGACAAAGUUGUGCAUCAACCUAGGAGCUGUGUCAUGGUGUAAUGCUUUGGCAUGGUGAAGGACAGCAUCAAAAGCUGUCAGCAACCAGGAAGGGGAGAAAGAAAAGGUGACAUCUUCCUGAAACGGAGUGUGUUGCAACUGCCUGCAGAGCUGGCUUACAGAGUGAUGGGGUGUGUGUGUGGGAAGAGAAUCAAACUACCAGAAAUACUAAAAUUGACUGGCUGGCAGGCUAAAACUUCAGCAGAGGCUGUGAUUAUACUUGUCACUAUCUGUUAACCUUCAAAACAGGUGCUGAGCAUUUGAAGUGCCAACACGGUGCUCAGGCUGCAAUCUGUGUAUGUGGAGAAAGUAGUAACACAAACACAGGCAGGGGGAAGGGGCUGGGGGCAUGCCAAGUGGGCACAUGGGCUAAAAGGGGAUGGCCCUGGGCAGUCAGCAUGGAAAUGCAAGUGGACUUGGCUGGCUGGGAAAAAGCAGAGAACCUCCCAGAGGAGCUGGGAUGGAGCAGGAAACGUCUUCAGCUGAUGGCAAACAGUGCUGCAAGGAGGACCCUGGGGAAGGGGCUCUACUUCACUAGGGUGAUUUGGCUGCUGAAGAUUUCAGGCUAGCUUUAUAAAAGCGCUCAGUUUACUGCAGUUCAGCUGGAGGAACCUUGACUCCUGCCAAGAUCCUCAAUUUUGACUGGCUGUUUGCACUCUCGGUCUAGCUCAGUGUCUUUCUUUAAUAUAUUUCAGCUUGGUAGCUUCUUUUGAAAGUCACAGAAGUGCUGAACUUUCAGUUUUAAUAAUUUUAUUUGGAAAAAAUGUCAGUAAGAAGACAAUAGCAAAGGGAAUAGAAAAAAUAAUUUUUAAAAACUUUCAUUUUUCUUACAGAGAGUAUUUACAUUACCAAACUUUGUGAUGACAAGCAUCUUGGGAUCUUGCAAGGCUGUAUUGUUAACUGAGGAAAUUAAAGCUCAGGGAGGUUUGAAGCUAACUUCAUCCAAGCUGGGCAGCUGAAGUACCUGAAACAGUGAGUCGUUCUGAUUUCAAUUCAGAGUUUGCAUUGCUGGAAAAAAAUGUAUCAGUGAAAGCAACCUUCACAUCUCUAAAAGAAAACUUGGACACUGCUCCAUCUGGGCACUUGUUUACACUCACACAUUCUGGUGCUGGCCUGUGCUGAUGUCUGCUAAGUGACCAUCAAUUUUGGGGUGUUUUAUUUCCCCAAACCCCAUCUGACUGGUACAACUCACCGCAUCUGGCUCUUUGUUGCUGAAAGCGCUUUGCACGGCCAUGUACCCACAGCUCAUAUAAAUCCCAGCAGCCCACAUGCCCCUUUGUGAAGAAAUGGAGAGAGAGACAGUAAUAGAUUUGCCAGUGAAAACCUGUUCCCGCCGUAGACAAAAUUCUGUUAUAUUUUUUACAGCCCCCCCAACUCCUGCCCUUGCCUCCAUCCUCGACUGUCCCUCAUCUCCUCCAGCUGCUCCCAUGCCCCAAACAUCCUUACCCUGGGCUCCCCUGCUGCAUUCCCCCUUGUCCCUCAAUCCAUGCUUUCCACCGCUGGCCCAGUGGCUAAGAGCAGGUGGAAAGGCAGGUGAUAAUAUCAAUAUUUAUGUGCUGGUGGCAACUGUUGGAAUUGUUCCCCUAAAAAUAAUAAGAUAAUAAAUACAUCCAACCCCAAAAUGCGUGUACAAAUCCACAAAGAGAUAUCUUCCCUUUGCGUGGCCACCAAAACAAGAAGUCUCUAUGUAUAAUCAUUAAUAAACCCCAGGUGCAUGAAAUUAAGCAGAUCUGAAGUUGGCAGGAUUGGAGCCUUGGUGUUUCUAGAGGAGGCUCACAAUGUGAAGCCAGAGAGUAAUAGCUGCCCUAUAACUACGCAAGUGAAGCAGUUGUUUACGUAUACAUCUUGUCAGUUUGAUGUGCUGGUUUCUGACUCUUGUCAAGUGUAAAUGGGAAUACUCCCACUGAAGUUUCUAUUUUUUUACCUAUUAUACUGAUGCACAUGUUAGACUUGCACCAGCCUGUAAGGAAAUACAACAAUGUAUAAGCAGCUCUAAUAAGCAGCAUCCCAUUGCACGCCUGGAAAGUCUUUAAGACUCAUUAAGCAGUCAGCAAAACAGACACAUUUGUCUACCAUUAAAUUGAAAAUACUGAGAGAGGACCUGUGCAUGGCUGUGAUUUGUGAGGGAGUGCAUUAGCAAGAACAGCCACAGUCUGCUUAGCAGUUGGGUAUGAGUUAAAGCAGGAACUGGAGUGAGAGGAACUAUUCUAAACAAAUCAGCUCUAUUAAUACUCUGAAAGUACAUUUAAAAGCAGCAGCACAUACAGCCAUCUUUGACUCCUCCAGAAGGAAGUUGC